This is an unclassified non-coding RNA of Marmota marmota marmota (Alpine marmot), 307 nucleotides long. Its record names the gene 7SK. It matches the Rfam family "7SK RNA". Rfam says of the family: 7SK was discovered as an abundant small nuclear RNA in the mid-70s but a possible function has only recently been suggested. NCBI's taxonomy places the organism in Eukaryota, Metazoa, Chordata, Mammalia, Rodentia, Sciuridae. The record is from Ensembl.
GGAUGGAAGGCAAUGUGGCUGCUACGUCUGUCACCCCAAUGAUCACCAGGAUUGAUUCAACUGAUCUGGCUGGCUAGGUGGAUGUUCCCUUCCUCCCUCACUACUCCAUGUGUGUUCCUCCUGAAGCUUCCAGCUUAGUCAAAGGACAACCUUCCCUGAUAAAGAAGAAUCAUUCUUCAAGUGUACAUAGUAGCUGAGCUCCCCUGCUAGAACCUCCAAACAAAGACACUUCCUAGCUGGGGGCAAUGGUGCACACCUGUAAUCCCAGCAACUCAGGAGGUUGAGGCAGGAGGAUCACAAGUUCAGU